AGUGUCCCGCCGUGAGGGGAGCGGCUCCUUGGCCACGGUGGCCGACCCUCCGGUGACAGCCCUCCCUCCACGGGCAAGGAAGGAAGAAACAAAAGGCAGAAGAGUUGGAGGAUCCUCACAGCCCUUAAAGCAGCCUAGGUGACUAUAAUUUUAGAAGCUGAUUCAUCUGCACUGAUACUGCAGGACUGGAAGAAAAAGAGAGCAUCUAACAAUUUAGCAGGUUACUCUGUCCCUUCUGAGGAGUGGAUUUGUGAAUUAGACACACACACACAGCUCUGGCAAG
Long non-coding RNA from Manacus vitellinus (golden-collared manakin), 283 nucleotides. Lineage: Eukaryota; Metazoa; Chordata; Aves; Passeriformes; Pipridae. The record is from Ensembl.